GGUGAGUUGGGUAGACUGUCCCAUGAUGAGGAUGUCGUCUAAGUAGAUUAUGAGACGUACUCCUCGACUUCUUAGUAAGGCGACUACUGGCUACAUAAGUUUGGUGAAGCACCAUGGGGCUGAGGACAGUCCGAAUGGGAGGCAGGUGAAUCUCCAUUUUCUUCCCUGCCAUAUGAAUUGCAGGAAAUCUUGGUGUUGCAGGGCAAUCGGCACUGUAAGAUAAGCGUCUUGAAGAUCUAACUUCACCAUCCAAACUUCACCAUCCAAUCCGAUGGUUGUAAGAGAUCUCUUAGACAAUGUAUCCCCUCCAUUUUGAAAUGGUUGUAGGAUACGUAAGCGUUGAGUUGUUUCAAGUUGAUCACUGGGCGGACACCACCAUAGCCUGUUGUGGUCAUAGGGAUUUCUGAUAUGGCCUGUUUACUUUCUAAGUUCCGAACCUCCUUGGUGACAAGGGUCGCGUCUUGUUGGGAAAAACGGAUUUCCCGUGGUGAGGAAUGUUGUAUUGGUAUAGACAGAAAAUCUAUUAUGUACCCUUUUAUAGUGUUCAGUUCCCAAGCAUCUGAUGAAAUGUGAGACCAUACUUGGAAAAAAUGACGGAGUCUGCCGCCCACUGCCCGUAGGGAAGAAAGAAGUUUGAGAGGACUUACCAUAAGGUCGUCGUCCUGAGUGAGCACUUCGUGGUCCUCGAGCAACCCAUGGCCACCCACGUUGUGGAACUAAAAACAGCUCAGGAAAGCCAAUAUAGAGACAUCAGCAGGACACUAGAGUGAGAGUAAAAUCCAUCUGAAACUAAUAGCUAUUAACAAGUUAAGGAGUAGUUAUUAAUCACAAUAUUAUACAAAAUAAUAAUCACAAAUAUAAAUGCAAUAAUAAUAUAAGAAAUAUCGCCCCACAGUUAAGAAAUCAGGGGACUUGAUGUUACUUAACUGAGGGAGCAGCAAAGAAAGAGGAGUAGGAUUGGUUGACAGAGCCUAUUAUGCUGGAGAGAAGAACCUGAUUGGCUUGAGAUACUACUCUCAGACUGUUAAUGUUAUGUACUGGUUAUGUUUUUUAAAAAAUUUCUUUGCUGCUGAGGUAAAUAAAGAAAGAGUGCAGCAUAAUAAUACUCGCC
Molecule: non-coding RNA, 1111 nt
Organism: Pelobates cultripes (western spadefoot toad)
Lineage: Eukaryota; Metazoa; Chordata; Amphibia; Anura; Pelobatidae
Source: the annotation of a GenBank genome assembly